This is a long non-coding RNA of Tupaia belangeri chinensis (Chinese tree shrew), 1178 nucleotides long. RefSeq lists it as uncharacterized. The record is from RefSeq and is a predicted model, not a curated record. NCBI's taxonomy places the organism in Eukaryota, Metazoa, Chordata, Mammalia, Scandentia, Tupaiidae. The transcript is spliced from 5 exons.
CCAGGGAGCCGCGAGCUGCCUUUUUAAGGCGCCCGGACACACACAGCACUUUUCAUGAUGGGAGCUGGGCACAGAGGUUUGAAAAGAAAAUACAGAAGAGGAGGCGAAUGAGGAGAGAAGUCAGGGAAGGGACCCCCCACUGGGCAAAUGGGGGCAUGAAAGAAAAAAGAAAAUCCUAGAAAGCCUCACACUUCUGUGGACAAAAACACCCUUUUCCAAAAGACAGGUGGUGCACGGAGAGCCCCAAAGUGACAUCGCAAUGACCACUGAGGACUGAGUGACGGCUCACACCAGCUCACAGCCGCUUGUCUGUACAGCAAACCUUGGCGCACAGCGUGAAGUCUGCUCCAGCAAACCUUCGCGCCCUGAUUUCAAUUACCGAAGCGAAGGGGACUGAGUCGUCACGAAUGCCAAGUUCUUCUCAGGAGACUCGAGCCCAUCCCAGCAUCCGGGUGGCCAAAUCCCGGGGAUAAGAAUUGUCACGCACCUGCUCAGCCUCCAGCUCUGCCAUUUACCCGGGUGCUUUUCAUCUUGCCUCGCGCUGCAUCCUCUGCACGAGCCCGUAGACGAGCAGGGAGGACAAACGUUUACCCUUCCCUAAGGCCAUCGUGCUGCACCAACUCGGUCUCGCAAUGUUGCCGUCCUCCUGCCUCAGCCUGCAGAGUCGCUGGGACCACAGGUGCUACCAGCCCUGCUUUAGGUGUAAAAACCACAAACAGGUCCUCUCUUCUUGCCCUCCCGGGUGGACAAUGGAGGAAGACCCCAGCCAUUCGUGCUCGCUUGUACCCACGCCUCGAAUCAGCCCCUUCUUGGCUGUGUGCUUGGUCUGAGCCGAUGGAAGAAUGGCAGAAGCAAUGGGAGGUCUGCAAUUGCUCAUGCACACUAGGGCCCCGAGACAACCACGUGAGGGAGCCCGCUGGCCUCCUGGAGGAUGAGAGGCCAGGUGCAAAAGGGAUGGGCUGUCCCCAGUGAGAGCCCCAGACCAACCAGCUGCCACCUGCCAGGGUGCAUUGAGGUCAUCCUCGCUCCCCAGCCCAGCCGAGCCACCAGCUGGCCAAAUGGAUCUGCCAAGCAGGCCCAGGGAAGAGCUUCGCAGUUGACCCACAGUCAGCAGAAGUAAGAUUGCGGCCCAGAGCCAUUGCGUUUCCAGGGCUUUAUCAAGGACCGCUCCCCCACCC